AUAUAGCGUUGCUCGCGAUGGAGUAGGUAGGUAUGUACGGUCGGCAAAGUCCGCUCAGGCGCUCAGUCGGCACGGAUAGAAUGGCGGGUGUGGUACGUGACUAUGCGCGAUAGAAGGAGAAGGUCGAAAGAAAGGAUAGAGGGGCGGGAGAGCGAAGAGAUGGUUCCCCACAAGUAAAGAUCCACUGACGUGAUAUCUGAUGAUCUCCUUGGGGCUCUCUGCGAGCAAUUGAUUCCGCUCCACUUAUCCAUCGUUCAAGGCAAAGCCAUAGACUUGGAAAUGAAACAACGAGAAAGGACAUAAAGAAGAACAUAAGGAAGAAUGGGACUUUCGUGCCAUUUUCAAAAGUGGAAAGAAAGAAAGAAAGAGAAGCGUUCGCAGUGGAAGAUGGAGCGUAUGCAAAGUUGUCGCGUUGCAUCAAAUUCAAAUUGGAGACGACCUAAUGCGAUAGUUUAGCUGUACGUCGGGAAACCUGAGACUCGUUACGCGAAGCGUAUUCGUUUGGCGCGGUGCGGCGUGGCGGACGAACGAGUUUAUCUCUCGAUCAUUCCGCUCGAAAUGCCCGAGCGGGUGUGGUACCGGCCGUAUUCAUUGGGAUCGGUCAGCUAGCCGGUUGUAACGGAGCUAUAAGAUCUGCUGUUCCGUUUCGUUGCUUUGCAUUGCGUACUCUCUCUUCCAUCCGCCGUACAUCGGCGUGCACCAGCGUGCACGGACUUCACCUCGGCUGGACAAGUGUGCGAUCCUAGAAGGAUAACGCGCAUAUACGACUUGCUGGACCAUUUGUAGAGCCAUGAGAAAGACGAUGGACGCUUAUACAUAUUAAUAGUGUAUGUAUUACUCAUACCGUGAACCAUCCUCUCGCAGAUACAUCUUUUCCACAUUCCCUUUCCUUCCCUUUAUUUAUUUCGUCGAACACAUCUUUCUUUUCUCUUUACAUCGUGCUAUGAUUUCGAUAUUUUCGCGACGGGUGCCCGCCGCAAAUAUACAUAUUUCACAUGGAAUACCGAUGACGUGCCGCUUUGUGCACGUGUUUUCGGUCGUUCCAUUGGUUAUGGGAGAAAAGACGAACGGUUGGCCGAAAAUAUAAAUCGUGAAACGACAACUUUCAAUUCUGCUCUGAUAUUCUCCGUUGGUUUCUAGUUUUCUAUCUUCUUAUCGACUCUUCUUGCCUUGUGAUACAGUUGGCCCAUGUAACGAACGCCCAAAUAAUCAUCCGUGUACCAUUACUUUUAUUUGCUAUUCUUUGAUAAGUAUCGAAGUAUUAGAGCAACGAAUGGCUCGUUUCAACUUAACUUUUAAUUGUUAUUUACGAAUGGUAAAUAACAAUUAAAAGAUUCCUAAGGUAGAGGUUGAGGUAAGCUUGGGAUUUAAAUGACAUACACGCUGAUGUUCUUAAAAUGUUUUCACGCUUUUAAUGUUAUGGCGCGAAUACCGAGUACCAAAUGCGUCGUAGUACGCUUGCAAACAAUGUUAUUUUUUAAUAAACUAUAUGUGCGUAUAGAUAUUACCAUGUCAGGAAUAGAUACGGACCAGAUUCGCAGGCUGAAGAGGCACUACUCGCUAGACCUAAACGCUAGUUAUUCAUUUAGUUAUCCAAAUUAAGCAUAUGCACUUACUUAUAAUACUUAUAAAUUAUACCUAUCUAUAAUAAGUAUUAACUUAUUGUAAAUAAACAGCCAUGUCACUGCGCCACGCCAGAAAAAUUACUGAAAAUUCUCAACGCGAGAAUUGAUUGUAAUUUCAACAAAUAAAUAAAAAAAAAAAAGGAAUAGAUAAACAAAAAUUG
This is a long non-coding RNA of Bombus huntii, 1786 nucleotides long. RefSeq lists it as uncharacterized. NCBI's taxonomy places the organism in Eukaryota, Metazoa, Arthropoda, Insecta, Hymenoptera, Apidae. The transcript is spliced from 3 exons. The record is from RefSeq and is a predicted model, not a curated record.